UAAAAUGGGAAGGGGAAACGGAGGGUAGAAAUUUUUGACCGUUUCCGCAAGUUCUAGGACAAGCUGGCUGGUGCACAGGUGGCCACGGAGAAAAGAUCUGAGGAAGGUGGGAGCCAGAGAGGAGCCAGAAAUGCAGUGCGGGACUGACAGCCCUUUAUAUACCUGACUCUUCCACACCUUGCACUCAGCUCGUACACAACAAAACGAUUGAGUUGAGUCUCUACGUUGUAUAAACCUUGCGCAAACUUCUACUCACGUCUACUAUUUGUGUUCUCAAUCCAAGGCUUGAGCUGCUAAGUUACCGCUACGUCUUCUCCUGCAGCCUUGCGCAAAGAUCAUUUCAUCGAUCGAGAUCAUGGCAUCCAGCAGCAACGUUAUGAGGUCCGCGGCGGUGGCGAUCGCUGUCAUAUCAAGCGUCGCAACUAUGGCCAACGCUCAGGCCGAGUCUCCCGCUCCACCACCAUCUUCCGCCGCCUUCUCGUUGAUGCCUUCCAUGUUGGCUCCCAUCUUGGGAAUGGCUUUCGCCUUCUUCGCAAGCCGCAUGGCAUGGUAAAGCAUGUCUCUCGCAAGUUUGCGUCGUUGUAAACUAACGCAUUUGAGACCCAAUUUAGUGAAGCCGCGUAAAUUGUUUCCGUUGGUAUGGCAGAGUUGUGGAAGUCCCACACAUCAGGCUAACGAUUUUGCCCACGGCGCGAGGCAUACAUCAGUUGUGCCUUGAAUGCAUAGGCUGAAAGCAUUUGUGUACAGAUUAGCAAAAGUGAGGGUUCUGUAUGUCAUUGAUUAUCAACUUCAAACAGUAGAUCUUAAGCUCCAUGCGGAGAAUAAACCACGGUGUAAUGCAUUGUUGAGCUUUUCGUUUUACAGCUCGGUUUUUCCAUGAAAUAAAGAGGAAGGAUUCUUUCCGUCUGCUUUCGCCGAU
Molecule: non-coding RNA, 919 nt
Organism: Physcomitrium patens
Lineage: Eukaryota; Viridiplantae; Streptophyta; Bryopsida; Funariales; Funariaceae
Source: RefSeq, a predicted model, not a curated record